GUCCGCGGGAAUUCGAUUCAGGCCUAACACAUGCAACUCGAGCGGUAGAGAGAAGCUUGGUUCUCUUGAGAGCGGCGGACGGGUGAGUAAUGCCUAGGAAUCUGCCUGGUAGUGGGGGAUAACGUUCGGAAACGGACGCUAAUACCGCAUCCGUCCUACGGGAGAAAGCAGGGGACCUUCGGGCCUUGCGCUAUCAGAUGAGCAUAGGUCGGAUUAGCUAGUUGGUGAGGUAAUGGCUCACCAAGGCUCCGAUCCGUAACUGGUAUGAGAGGAUGAUCAGUCACACUGGAAUUGAGACACGGUCCAGACUCCUACGGGAGGCAGCAGUGGGGAAUAUUGGACAAUGGGCGAAAGCCUGAUCCACCAAGGGCGUGUGUGUGAAGAAGGUCUUCGGAUG
This 397-nucleotide ribosomal RNA is filed under the name uncultured bacterium. RNAcentral's name for it is "bacterial SSU rRNA". It matches the Rfam family "Bacterial small subunit ribosomal RNA", at positions 39 to 424 of the family's 1533-position model. The record is from RNAcentral.